This 569-nucleotide long non-coding RNA is filed under the name Setaria italica (foxtail millet). Its description in RNAcentral is "long non-coding RNA (SITA_LNC001495)". Lineage: Eukaryota; Viridiplantae; Streptophyta; Magnoliopsida; Poales; Poaceae. The record is from RNAcentral.
GGCGUUGCAGCUCGUCGGCACGGGAGCAGAGCAGCGGGGCGUCGUGGUGGUGGAGCAGCAGGGCGGCGAGGCGGAGGUGGGAGCGGAGCAGCAGCAGCCGCGCAGUCGAUGGGUGAAACAAGAAUCAAAGGCGGUGGUCCGAAUUGCGCGGGACAUGUUGAAGCUCUACCGGCUGAAUCGCCUGAAACCGGAUUCGUGGCAUGAAGUUCCCGGGUACUCUUCUUCUCAUCCGUUUCCCUUUCUCUGGUCUAACCGAAUUCGUGCCAUUAAUCCAUUAUAGUUUCCACAGUUGGCGAUCGAUCUUAGCUGGGCAUGCCGUUUAUCAAAUGUAGUAGGAGGCUGGAACAGCAUUCAUGAAUCCAAUUAACCCUUCUACCAGUAUUUUAGUAAUCGUGUGCAUGCCGUUCUAAUUUUGUUUGCUACUCUGCAGGAGGUUGGAGCAUACGAAGAAGAGCCAGAGCUGGACGGGUGGGCCCACCCCGAAACGCACGGCCGAGGCCGACGAGUGCAGGAUCAAGUACAACUCGCUCGUUCACUACUGCAAACGGCGAUCGCAGCAGAUACACGCC